GCCGACGUAGCUCAGCGGUAGAGCAGCUGAUUCGUAAUCAGCAGGUCGUCGGUUCAAAUCCGACCGUCGGCUCCA
This 75-nucleotide transfer RNA is filed under the name Acidobacteriota bacterium. RNAcentral's name for it is "Acidobacteria bacterium (activated sludge metagenome) tRNA-Thr". It matches the Rfam family "tRNA". From Rfam's summary of the family: Transfer RNA (tRNA) molecules are approximately 80 nucleotides in length. Their secondary structure includes four short double-helical elements and three loops (D, anti-codon, and T loops). Further hydrogen bonds mediate the characteristic L-shaped molecular structure. tRNAs have two regions of fundamental functional importance: the anti-codon, which is responsible for specific mRNA codon recognition, and the 3' end, to which the tRNAs corresponding amino acid is attached (by aminoacyl-tRNA synthetases). tRNAs cope with the degeneracy of the genetic code in two manners: having more than one tRNA (with a specific anti-codon) for a particular amino acid; and 'wobble' base-pairing, i.e. permitting non-standard base-pairing at the 3rd anti-codon position. The record is from RNAcentral. Lineage: Bacteria; Pseudomonadati; Acidobacteriota.